GAUGAACGCUGGCGGCGGGCCUAAUACAUGCAAGUCGAGCGGCAGCACGGUCUUCGGACUGGUGGCGAGCGGCGGACGGCUGAGUAACGCGUAGGAACAUGCCCUAAAGUGAGGAAUAACUGCCCGAAAGGGUGGCUAAUGCCGCAUGUGCUCUUCGGAGUAAAGCUGUAUGCGCGUUAGGAGUGGCCUGCGUCCGAUUAGCUAGUUGGUGAGGUAAAUGCUCACCAAGGCGACGAUCGGUAGCUGGUCUGAGAGGAUGAUCAGCCAGACUGGAACUGAGAACGGUCCAGACUCCUACGGGAGGCAGCAGUAGGGAAUUUUCCACAAUGGGCGAGAGCCUGAUGGAGCAACGCCGCGUGCAGGAUGAAUGCCUUCGGGUUGUAAACUGCUUUUAUGUGCGAAGAAUUUGACUGUAACACAUGAAUAAGGAUCGGCUAACUACGUGCCAGCAGCCGCGGUAA
This 461-nucleotide ribosomal RNA is filed under the name uncultured bacterium. RNAcentral's name for it is "partial 16S ribosomal RNA". It matches the Rfam family "Bacterial small subunit ribosomal RNA", at positions 28 to 523 of the family's 1533-position model. The record is from RNAcentral.